GGAGACGUAUCGAAGAGGUCAUAACGAGCCGCACUCGAAAUGCGGUAGCCUUUCGGGGUACGUGGGUUCGAAUCCCACCGUCUCCG
This 86-nucleotide transfer RNA is filed under the name Anaerosporobacter mobilis DSM 15930. It matches the Rfam family "tRNA". From Rfam's summary of the family: Transfer RNA (tRNA) molecules are approximately 80 nucleotides in length. Lineage: Bacteria; Bacillati; Bacillota; Clostridia; Lachnospirales; Lachnospiraceae. The record is from Rfam by way of RNAcentral.